Long non-coding RNA from Piliocolobus tephrosceles (Ugandan red Colobus), 1190 nucleotides. RefSeq lists it as uncharacterized. The transcript is spliced from 2 exons. Lineage: Eukaryota; Metazoa; Chordata; Mammalia; Primates; Cercopithecidae. The record is from RefSeq and is a predicted model, not a curated record.
CCCACCUCUAAUAAUGUACAUUUGGGUAGGGCUUUAUGCUUCAUUAUAUACUUUUGCUAUUUCAUUUGAGCCUCACAUUAACCCUUUGAAGUCGCGGAUUUUUGCUGGAGGAAUAAGUAAAUGAUUACCAAGGGUAAGUCAUUCCAUUGCACACCCUGCACUGUAGAGGGGCCAGUGGUGGUGAGCAACUUCACUCUUUCCAGAGUCUGAGGCUCAGACAGAAGAAUUUGGCUUUAAUUUCAGUUGCAUGCAUGGCCUACCCUGUUUAAUGUACAUUCACCAUGGGGUAUUUCUCAGGUCUUCUGGCUCCUAGGUACUCCUCUUUACAACACACUAAGAGAGAAUCAUCCAACUCUGUCUAGCCAAAAGCUUUCCCUCAUCUUCUUGAAGUUCUCCUGAGCCUUUGGGAACUAAGACUCUAAUGCACAGAGUUGGGUUGGUUGGGACCACCCUUUCUCAGAUUAGAUGAGGUGGAGACUUGCCUUAAUGUCGUUCUUUUCUUCUUUUCAGAUUGGCUCUACCAGUGCUCCUGGACAGGGAGGAAUCCUGGCUCAGCGGGAGUUUGACAGGCGAUUCUCCCCUCAUUUUCUGGACUGGGCAGCCUUUGGGGUCAUGACCCUUCCCUCCAUCGGCAUCCCCCUGCUAUUGUGGUACUCCAGCAAGAGGAAAUAUGACACUCCCAAAACGAAGAAGAACUGAGUGGGGCUUCCACAGCCCUCCGCUCCCAAGAAAUCCAGGCUCCUCUCCCAAGAAAUCCAGGUGCUUUCCAGACUCCAGAGGGUAUCUUAAAUGCAAUCUCUUCUCUCUUAGCCCUUGGCCACUUUCUCCUGGAUCCUGCCCUGCUCUCAGCCAUAGUGAAGGACCAGGCCUAGGAGUCUGUGAGAGCCUCCUUGGUUCCAUGUGAAGCCAUAAACAGGAAUGCCUUUGGCAAUAGCCUUGAGCCUAGAGGGCCCUCUGAUGCCCCACUGAGGUGCUGUUGGUUUAUUGCUGGCAAUGUGAAUUCUCUCAGGGGUCUAGGAGGGGCAUUUCUGAGACUGCCUGACACCACCCCCAUCCCCUGCCCCCCGCUCUCAGAAGAGGGUAGAAGAUGAAAUGAAAGCUAUGGGACUCUUGGAGGAUACCUAGUGUCUAUUCUGGGUUAGAGAAGUGCUUACUAAGGGGUUUUCUAAUAAAAACAAAUGCCACAUUGA